Molecule: ribosomal RNA, 492 nt
Filed under: uncultured bacterium
Lineage: Bacteria
Description: partial 16S ribosomal RNA
Rfam family: Bacterial small subunit ribosomal RNA
Source: RNAcentral
AGUGAACGCUGGCGGUAGGCCUAACACAUGCAAGUCGAACGGCAGCACAGUAAGAGCUUGCUCUUACGGGUGGCGAGUGGCGGACGGGUGAGGAAUACAUCGGAAUCUACUUUUUCGUGGGGGAUAACGUAGGGAAACUUACGCUAAUACCGCAUACGACCUACGGGUGAAAGCAGGGGAUCUUCGGACCUUGGGCGAUUGAAUUAGCCGAUGUCGGAUUAGCUAGUUGGCGGGGUAAAGGCCCACCAAGGCGACGAUCCGUAGCUGGUCUGAGAGGAUGAUCAGCCACACUGGAACUGAGACACGGUCCAGACUCCUACGGGAGGCAGCAGUGGGGAAUAUUGGACAAAGGGCGCAAGCCUGAUCCAGCCAUACCGCGUGGGUGAAGAAGGCCUUCGGGUUGUAAAGCCCUUUUGUUGGGAAAGAAAAGCAGCAGGUUAAUACCCCGCUGUUCUGACGGUACCCAAAGAAUAAGCACCGGCUAACUUCGUG